This 468-nucleotide ribosomal RNA is filed under the name uncultured bacterium. RNAcentral describes it as "partial 16S ribosomal RNA". It matches the Rfam family "Bacterial small subunit ribosomal RNA", at positions 28 to 507 of the family's 1533-position model. The record is from RNAcentral.
GACGAACGCUGGCGGCGUGCUUAACACAUGCAAGUCGAACGGAAAGGCCCUGCUUUUGUGGGGUGCUCGAGUGGCGAACGGGUGAGUAACACGUGAGUAACCUGCCCUUGACUUUGGGAUAACUUCAGGAAACUGGGGCUAAUACCGGUUAGGAGCUCCUGCUGCAUGGUGGGGGUUGGAAAGUUUUGGCUGUUGGGGAUGGACUCGCGGCUUAUCAGCUUGUUGGUGGGGUAGUGGCUUACCAAGGCUUUGACGGGUAGCCGGCCUGAGAGGGUGACCGGCCACCUUGGGCCUGCGCUACGGCCCAGACUCCUACGGGAGGCAGCAGUGGGGAAUAUUGCACAGUGGGCGGAAGCCUGAUGCAGCAACGCCGCGUUCGGGAUGACGGCCUUCGGGUUGUAAACCGCUUUCGCCUGUGACGAAGCGUGAGUGACGGUAAUGGGUAAAGAAGCACCGGCUAACUACGUG